This 114-nucleotide ribosomal RNA is filed under the name Morganella psychrotolerans. The record is from RNAcentral. Lineage: Bacteria; Pseudomonadati; Pseudomonadota; Gammaproteobacteria; Enterobacterales; Morganellaceae.
UGGCGGCACUAGCGCGGUGGUCCCACCUGACCCCAUGCCGAACUCAGAAGUGAAACGCCGUAGCGCCGAUGGUAGUGUGGGGUCUCCCCAUGUGAGAGUAGGGAACCGCCAGGU